This 72-nucleotide transfer RNA is filed under the name Microcanthus strigatus (stripey). RNAcentral describes it as "tRNA-Thr". It matches the Rfam family "tRNA". Rfam says of the family: Transfer RNA (tRNA) molecules are approximately 80 nucleotides in length. The record is from RNAcentral. Lineage: Eukaryota; Metazoa; Chordata; Actinopteri; Centrarchiformes; Kyphosidae.
GCACAAGUAGCUCAGAGUCAGAGCGCCGGUCUUGUAAGCCGGACGCCGGAGGUUGGACUCCUCCCUUCUGCU